AUUGAACGCUGGCGGCAUGCUUUACACAUGCAAGUCGGACGGCAGCACAGAGAAGCUUGCUUCUUGGGUGGCGAGUGGCGAACGGGUGAGUAACAUAUCGGAACGUACCGAGCAGUGGGGGAUAACUAAUCGAAAGAUUAGCUAAUACAGCAUAUUUUCUGAGGAAGAAAGCAGGGGACCUUUGGGCCUUGCGCUGUUUGAGCGGCCGAUAUCUGAUUAGCUAGUUGGUGGGGUAAAGGCCUACCAAGGCGACGAUCAGUAGCGGGUCUGAGAGGAUGAUCCGCCACACUGGGACUGAGACACGGCCCAGACUCCUACGGGAGGCAGCAGUGGGGAAUUUUGGACAAUGGGCGCAAGCCUGAUCCAGCCAUGCCGCGUGUCUGAAGAAGGCCUUCGGGUUGUAAAGGACUUUUGUCAGGGAAGAAAAGGGCGGGGUUAAUACCCCUGUCUGAUGACGGUACCUGAAGAAUAAGCACCGGCUAACUACGUG
Molecule: ribosomal RNA, 490 nt
Filed under: uncultured bacterium
Lineage: Bacteria
Description: partial 16S ribosomal RNA
Rfam family: Bacterial small subunit ribosomal RNA
Source: RNAcentral